GUCGUAACAAGGUUUCCGUAGGUGAACCUGCGGAAGGAUCAUUACCUAGAGUUUGUAGACUUCGGUCUGCUACCUCUUACCCAUGUCUUUUGAGUACCUUCGUUUCCUCGGCGGGUCCGCCCGCCGAUUGGACAACAUUCAAACCCUUUGCAGUUGCAAUCAGCGUCUGAAAAAACAUAAUAGUUACAACUUUCAACAACGGAUCUCUUGGUUCUGGCAUCGAUGAAGAACGCAGCGAAAUGCGGUAAGUAGUGUGAAUUGCAGAAUUCAGUGAAUCAUCGAAUCUUUGAACGCACAUUGCGCCCCUUGGUAUUCCAUGGGGCAUGCCUGUUCGAGCGUCAUUUGUACCUUCAAGCUCUGCUUGGUGUUGGGUGUUUGUCUCGCCUCUGCGUGUAGACUCGCCUUAAAACAAUUGGCAGCCGGCGUAUUGAUUUCGGAGCGCAGUAUAUCUCGCGCUUUGCACUCAUAACGACGACGUCCAAAAGUACAUUUUUACACUCUUGACCUCGGAUCAGGUAGGGAUACCUGCUGAACUUAAGCA
Molecule: ribosomal RNA, 541 nt
Filed under: uncultured fungus
Lineage: Eukaryota; Fungi
Description: eukaryotic LSU rRNA
Rfam family: 5.8S ribosomal RNA (bases 188-341)
Source: RNAcentral